GAUAAACGCUAGCGGCAGGCUUAAUACAUGCAAGUCGAACGGUAACUUCGGUAGCAAUACUGAGGACGAGUGGCGCACGGGUGAGUAACACGUAUGCAAUCUACCUUUAACCAGAGAAUAUCCCGGAGAAAUCCGGACUAAUACUCUAUGACAAUAUGAAGUGGCAUCACUUUAUAUUUAAAGCUUCGGCGGUUUUAGAUGAGCAUGCGCGACAUUAGAUAGUUGGUAAGGUAACGGCUUACCAAGUCAACGAUGUCUAGGGGAUCUGAGAGGAUGUACCCCCACACUGGUACUGAGACACGGACCAGACUCCUACGGGAGGCAGCAGUAAGGAAUAUUGGUCAAUGGACGCAAGUCUGAACCAGCCAUGCCGCGUGAAGGAAGAAGGCCCUAGUGGUCGUAAACUUCUUUUAUAUGGGAAAAAUUCC
RNAcentral lists this ribosomal RNA (428 nucleotides) under uncultured bacterium. Its description in RNAcentral is "bacterial SSU rRNA". It matches the Rfam family "Bacterial small subunit ribosomal RNA", at positions 28 to 453 of the family's 1533-position model. The record is from RNAcentral.